Molecule: long non-coding RNA, 3532 nt
Filed under: Daucus carota (carrot)
Lineage: Eukaryota; Viridiplantae; Streptophyta; Magnoliopsida; Apiales; Apiaceae
Description: long non-coding RNA (DCAR_LNC004060)
Source: RNAcentral
AGAACAAAUAUCCAUUACCAAGAAUAGAUGACUUAUUUGAUCAAUUACAAGGGGCUCAAGUGUUUUCAAAGAUUGAUUUGAGAUCAGGAUAUCAUCAAUUGAAGAUUGCCAAGGAAGAUAUCCCAAAGACUGCUUUCCGAACUAGAUAUGGUCACUUUGAAUUUCUAGUUAUGCCGUUUGGGUUAACAAAUGCUCCAGCUGUGUUUAUGGCACUUAUGAACAAAGUGUUUCAACCUUUUCUGGAUAAAUUUGUUAUAGUAUUCAUCGAUGACAUAUUGGUAUAUUCAAAGAGUAAAUCUGAGCAUGAAGAGCAUUUAAGAACAGCUUUACAAAUCUUAAGAGAAAACCAAUUAUAUGCUAAGCUGAGUAAAUGUGAGUUUUGGUUGGACCAUGUCGUAUUCCUAGGACAUGUUAUUUCUAGUAAAGGAAUUGAAGUGGACCCAAAGAAAAUAGAGGCUAUAUGGAAUUGGGAAGUACCCAAGAAUGUUACAGAAGUGAGGAGUUUCCUAGGAAUGGCUGGUUAUUACAGACGUUUUGUUGAAGGAUUUUCUAAGAUUGCCGGACCAAUGACCAAAUUACUCAGAAAGAAUGUUCCUUUUCAAUGGACUGAAGAAGCUCAACAAAGUUUUGAUGAAUUAAAGCGAAGAUUGACAUCCGCUCCAGUGUUGACUACACCAUCAGGACAAGGUGGUUUUGUAGUAUAUAGUGAUGCGUCACAACAAGGUUGAACAAAUAUCCAUUACCAAGAAUAGAUGACUUAUUUGAUCAAUUACAAGGGGCUCAAGUGUUUUCAAAGAUUGAUUUGAGGUCAGGAUAUCAUCAAUUGAAGAUUGCCAAGGAAGAUAUUCCGAAGACUGCUUUCCGAACUAGAUAUGGUCACUUUGAAUUUCUAGUUAUGCCGUUUGGGUUAACAAAUGCUCCAGCUGUGUUUAUGGCACUUAUGAACAAAGUGUUUCAACCUUUUCUGGAUAAAUUUGUUAUAGUAUUCAUCGAUGACAUAUUGGUAUAUUCAAAGAGUAAAUCUGAGCAUGAAGAGCAUUUAAGAACAGCUUUACAAACCUUAAGAGAAAACCAAUUAUAUGCUAAGCUGAGUAAAUGUGAGUUUUGGUUGGACCAUGUCUUAUUCCUAGGACAUGUUAUUUCUAGUAAAGGAAUUGAAGUGGACCCAAAGAAAAUAGAGGCUAUAUGGAAUUGGGAAGUACCCAAGAAUGUUACAGAAGUGAGGAGUUUCCUAGGAAUGGCUGGUUAUUACAGACGUUUUGUUGAAGGAUUUUCCAAGAUUGCCGGACCAAUGACCAAAUUACUCAGAAAGAAUGUUCCUUUUCAGUGGACUGAAGAAGCUCAACAAAGUUUUGAUGAAUUAAAGCGAAGAUUGACAUCUGCUCCAGUGCUGACUACACCAUCAGGACAAGGUGGUUUUGUAGUAUAUAGUGAUGCGUCACAACAAGGCUUAGGAUGUGUCCUUAUGCAACAUGGAAAAGUUAUAGCCUAUGCUUCAAGACAGCUCAGACCGCAUGAGAAGUCAUAUCCUGUACAUGAUCUAGAAUUGGCAGCAAUUGUUUUUGCAUUGAAAAUUUGGAGGCAUUACUUAUACGGGGAGACAUUUCAGAUUUUUACAGACCAUAAGAGUCUAAAGUAUUUAAUGAGUCAGAAAGAGUUGAAUAUGAGACAGAGAAGAUGGGUGGAACUUUUAAAGGAUUAUGAUUGUACGUUAGAAUAUCACCCAGGAAAGGCCAAUAUAGUGGCAGACGCUUUAAGUCGGAAAUGUAGUAGCGUAGCAAAUCUUCAAGGAUCGACGUUCCCAUCUUUAGUUGAAUUAAGAAAGAUGAAUAUUGGGUUAGAGGUUGACACCUGUGGAGUUUUAUUGGCUACACUAAAUAUCCGACCAGUGUUGAAGGAAAGGAUCCAGAAGGCACAAAUAAAUGAUCCUAAAUUAAGAGACGCAGUCGAGAGAGUAAGACAAGGUCAAGUACUAGGAUCAGUUCACGUUAUAUGAGGAUACUUUAAUGUUAGGAAACAGAAUUUGCGUUCCUGAUGAUGAAGACUUACGACGAGAAAUACUAGAUGAAGCUCAUAAUGCUCCAUAUGCAAUGCAUCCCGGAGCAACAAAAAUGUAUAACACGAUGAAAUCUCAUUAUUGGUGGUCUGGAAUGAAAAAAGAUGUGGCAGAGUUUACAGCCAAAUGUUUAACGUGUCAACAAGUGAAAGUGGAACAUCAAGCUCCAGCUGGGAAGUUACAUCCGUUGUCGAUUCCUGAGUGGAAGUGGGAAAAGAUCACUAUGGAUUUUGUAACAAAUUUACCCAAGACAAGGAAGGGAAAUGAUGCAAUAUGGAUCAUUGUUGAUCGACUUACCAAAUCAGCUCAUUUUCUACCAAUACGUUGGGGUUGCACACUAGAUCAUUUAGCUCAAAGGUAUGUGAAUGAGAUUGUACGAUUACAUGGAGUACCAAUAUCCAUUGUUUCAGAUAGAGAUCCAAGAUUUACUUCUAGAUUUUGGAAAAGUUUACAAGAAGCAAUGGGUACAAGAUUGAAUUUUAGUACAGCCUUUCAUCCUCAGACUGAUGGGCAAUCUGAAAGAACCAUUCAAACGUUAGAGGAAAUGUUAAGAGCGUGUGUGAUUGAGUUUAAAGGUUCAUGGGAUGAAUAUAUUGCUUUGAUGGAAUUCGCCUACAACAAUCAUUUCCAUAGCAGUAUUGGAAUGGCACCUUAUGAAGCCUUGUAUGGACGGAAGUGCAGAAGUCCCUUGUACUGGGAUAAAGAAGGUACUAUCAUUUUAGAAGGGCCAGAACUUGUCCAGAAUGCAGUAGAUAAGGUAAACAUUGUAAAAGCAAAGCUGAAGGCUACCCAAGAUCGACAGAAAAGUUAUGUGGACCAAAAUAGAAGAGAGAUGGAAUAUCAAGUAGGUGAUAAAGUAUUUCUGAAAGUAUCACCAUGGAAAGGGGUGAUGAGAUUCGGCAAUAAAGGGAAGUUGAGUCCUAGGUAUAUUGGACCAUAUGAAAUAAUUGAGAAGAUAGGACCACUUGCCUAUAGAUUAGCAUUGCCCCCAGAACUUUCUCAAAUCCAUGAUGUAUUUCAUGUAAGCAUGUUACGAAGAUAUAGGUCAGAUCCUACACACGUUUUGAAGGACCCCGGGAUAGAAAUCAAUGACAAUUUGAGUUACAUUGAAGAACCUGUCAAGAUAAUAGGGCACAAGACCAAACAACUGAGGAAUAGAGAAAUACCGCUAGUCAAAGUACUAUGGAGAAACCACGCAGUGGAAGAAGCCACAUGGGAGACAGAGGAGCAUAUGAGAAGCAAGUACCCUCACCUAUUCGACAAUCCAGGUACAUUUUUGAAUUUUGAGGACAAAAUUCUUUAAAGGGGGGAAGAGUUGUCACACCCUGGUCCCAAACAAAUGCUUAUAUAAUACUUUUGAAUGUAUUAAAAUAGUUUUCGGGAUUUUUAGAUUUAACAAAAAUAUUUUGUUUUAGGAUUUAUAAGGAAUUUGCGAAUAGUAAGGUGACCCUAUAAAGGAGAAAGGACAUGAAGGGG